This 459-nucleotide ribosomal RNA is filed under the name uncultured bacterium. RNAcentral's name for it is "partial 16S ribosomal RNA". It matches the Rfam family "Bacterial small subunit ribosomal RNA", at positions 338 to 795 of the family's 1533-position model. The record is from RNAcentral.
CCUACGGGUGGCAGCAGUGAGGCAUAUUGGUCAAUGGGCGGGAGCCUGAACCAGCCAAGCCGCGUGAGGGAAGACGGUACAGCGUAUUGUAAACCUCUUUUGUCAGGGAACAAAGGCGGGGACUAGUCCCCGGAUGAGGGUACCUGAAGAAAAAGCAUCGGCAAACUCCGUGCCAGCAGCCGCGGUAAUACGGAGGAUGCGGGCGUUAUCCGGAUUUCUGGGGUUUAAAGGGUGCGCAGGCGGCCUGUUAAGUCAGCGGGAAAAGCCCGGGGCUCAACCCCGGCGAGCCGUUGAAACUGGCGGGCUGGAGUUGGAGAGAAGUACGCGGAAUGCGCGGUGUAGCGGUGAAAUGCUUAGAGAUCGCGCAGAACCCCGAUUGCGAAGGCAGCGUACCGGCUCCACACUGACGCUGAGGCACGAAAGCGUGGGUAUCGAACAGGAUUAGAUACCCCUGUAGUC